Molecule: ribosomal RNA, 460 nt
Filed under: uncultured bacterium
Lineage: Bacteria
Description: partial 16S ribosomal RNA
Rfam family: Bacterial small subunit ribosomal RNA
Source: RNAcentral
CCUACGGGAGGCAGCAGUGGGGAAUAUUGGUCAAUGGGCGCGAGCCUGACCCAGCCAAGUAGCGUGAAGGAUGACUGCCCUACGGGUUGUAAACUUCGUUUAUAAAGGAAUAAGGUGAGGCACGUGUGCCUUUUUGUAUGUACUUUAUGAAUAAGGAUCGGAUAACUCCGUUCCAGCAGCCGCGGUAAUACGGAGGAUCCGAUCGUUAGCCGGAUUUAUUGGGUUUAAAGGGAACGUAGAUGGGUUGUUAAGUCAGUUGUGAAAGUUUGCGGCUCAACCGUAAAAUUGCAAUUGAUACUGGCAGCCUUGAGUACAGUUGAGGUAGGCGGAAUUCGUGGUGUAGCGGUGAAAUGCUUAGAUAUCACGAAGAACUCCGAUUGCGAAGGCAGCUUACUAAACUGCCACUGACAUUGAUGCUCGAAAGUGUGGGUAUCAAACAGGAUUAGAUACCCCAGUAGUC